Molecule: non-coding RNA, 76 nt
Organism: Cordylochernes scorpioides
Lineage: Eukaryota; Metazoa; Arthropoda; Arachnida; Pseudoscorpiones; Chernetidae
Source: the annotation of a GenBank genome assembly
UGUCAAGGGAUUGGGAAUCGAACCCACGACCUUCCGCUUACCGGGCAGAUGCCAUGACCACUAGGCUACCCUGGAC